CCUACGGGUGGCAGCAGUGGGGAAUAUUGCACAAUGGGGGAAACCCUGAUGCAGCGAAGCCGCGUGAGUGAGGAAGUAUUUCGGUAUGGUAAGCUCUAUCAGCCGGGGAGAAAAUGACGGUACCCGACUAAGAAGCCCCGGCUAACUACGUGCCAGCAGCACCGGUAAUACGUCGGGGGCAAGCGUUAUCCGGAUUUACUGGGUGUAAAGGGUGCGUAGACGGCAAAUCAAGUCAGAAGUGAAAACCCAGGGCUCAACCUUGGGACUGCUUUUGAAACUGAGUAGCUAGAGUGCAGGAGAGGUAAGCGGAAUUCCUAGUGUAGCGGUGAAAUGCGUAGAUAUUAGGAGGAACACCAGUGGCGAAGGCGGCUUACUGGACUGUAACUGACGUUGAGGCUCGAAAGCGUGGGGAGCGAACAGGAUUAGAUACCCUAGUAGUC
Molecule: ribosomal RNA, 440 nt
Filed under: uncultured bacterium
Lineage: Bacteria
Description: partial 16S ribosomal RNA
Rfam family: Bacterial small subunit ribosomal RNA
Source: RNAcentral